CACCUUUUACUAUCAUUUCUUAUCCUAUUUGAAGACAAAUGAGUAAAGGUAGAAAAGCAAAAUAAUCCUGGUAAUUAGUGGUUUCGUGAUUUCACAUUAUCAAAGGGUCCCUGCACUCAGGAGAUGUUCCAGCAUUGGUGGUUCCCUCGUACCAUUGGAGCCCAGACUCGAGCCACACAGUUCAUGGGGGAUAUGGUUCCAGGAUCCGUUAUGAUGAUG
Molecule: long non-coding RNA, 219 nt
Filed under: Panax ginseng (ginseng)
Lineage: Eukaryota; Viridiplantae; Streptophyta; Magnoliopsida; Apiales; Araliaceae
Description: long non-coding RNA (PGIN_LNC005737)
Source: RNAcentral